UACGUAGGAUGCAAGCGUUGUCCGGAAUUAUUGGGCGUAAAGAGUUCGUAGGCGGUUGCCUAAGUCUGUUGUUAAAGGCCUGAGCUCAACUCGGGUAUGGCAAUGGAUACUGGGCGGCUAGAGUGUGGUAGAGGUCACGGGAAUUCCAGGUGUAGCGGUGAAAUGCGUAGAUAUCCGGAGGAACACCAGUGGCGAAGGCGGCUAUCUGGACAGAGUCUGACGCUGAGGCGCGAAAGCUAGGGGAGCAAACAGG
RNAcentral lists this ribosomal RNA (253 nucleotides) under uncultured bacterium. Its description in RNAcentral is "partial 16S ribosomal RNA". It matches the Rfam family "Bacterial small subunit ribosomal RNA", at positions 524 to 776 of the family's 1533-position model. The record is from RNAcentral.